GACGAACGCUGGCGGCGUGCCUAAUACAUGCAAGUUGAGCGCUGAAGGUUGGUACUUGUACCAACUGGAUGAGCAGCGAACGGGUGAGUAACGCGUGGGGAAUCUGCCUUUGAGCGGGGGACAACAUUUGGAAACGAAUGCUAAUACCGCAUAAAAUCUUUAAACACAAGUUUUAAGUUUGAAAGAUGCAAUUGCAUCACUCAAAGAUGAUCCCGCGUUGUAUUAGCUAGUUGGUGAGGUAAAGGCUCACCAAGGCAAUGAUACAUAGCCGACCUGAGAGGGUGAUCGGCCACAUUGGGACUGAGACACGGCCCAAACUCCUACGGGAGGCAGCAGUAGGGAAUCUUCGGCAAUGGACGAAAGUCUGACCGAGCAACGCCGCGUGAGUGAAGAAGGUUUUCGGAUCGUAAAACUCUGUUGGUAGAGAAGAACGUUGGUGAGAGUGGAAAGCUCAUCAAGUGACGGUAACUACCCAGAAAGGGACGGCUAACUACGU
Molecule: ribosomal RNA, 496 nt
Filed under: uncultured bacterium
Lineage: Bacteria
Description: partial 16S ribosomal RNA
Rfam family: Bacterial small subunit ribosomal RNA
Source: RNAcentral